Molecule: ribosomal RNA, 1254 nt
Filed under: Triticum aestivum (bread wheat)
Lineage: Eukaryota; Viridiplantae; Streptophyta; Magnoliopsida; Poales; Poaceae
Description: partial small subunit ribosomal RNA
Source: RNAcentral
AUGGGUAUCAUCGGCAUCCUCCGCACUGCCAUCCUGCUCCUCGUCGGCCUCGCGUGGUGUGGUGUGCUCGUCGCCGCCGGCGGCGGGGUGGACGGCGUGUUCAACGUCGAGGACUACGGUGCUCUAGGUGACGGGACCACGGACGACACCAAGGCGUUCGUGGAUGCAUGGGUGGCGGCGUGCGGCGCCACUGGCUCGUCAGCGACGCUGCUCGUGCCGGCGGAAAAGUCAUUCCUCGUCGGCCUCACCAGGUUUAGUGGGCCAUGCGCCUCCAGCAGAAUCACCGUCCAGGUCUUGGGCACGAUCACGGCGCCGCCGGCGAGCGCAUGGAGCGAGAAGAAGAACUAUUGGCUGCUGUUCUACCAGGUCGACGGGCUCACGGUAACCGGCAACAGCACCGGCUUGCUCGACGGCAGCGGCGUGACGUGGUGGAGCGAUAAAUGCAAACACAGUGAUGAUGAUUGUGUAACUAAGGCACCGACGGCCUUGUUGGUCAUGAACUGCACCGGCGUGGAGCUGAGCCAAUUCAGCAGCAAGGACAGCCCGCAGAUGCACAUCGGCCUCAGCAUGAGCGGCAAGGUCAACGUGACGCAGCUCACCAUCACCGCGCCGGAGGACAGCCCCAACACCGACGGCAUCCACGUCGACCGGAGCGAAGACGUCCACAUCACCGGUUCCACCAUCGGCACGGGCGACGACUGCAUCUCCAUCGGCCCUGGUAGCCGCUUCGUCACCGUCGACGGAAUCGUCUGCGGCCCCGGCCAUGGUGUAAGUGUGGGGAGCCUGGGCAGGGAUGGAGCAAACGAAUCCGUGGAGUACAUUGACGUGAGAAACGUCCAGUUCAUCAACACGACGAAUGGAGCAAGGAUCAAGACGUGGAGGGGUGGGAGAGGUUACGCGAAAUCCAUCUCCUUCACCAACAUAAACUUCACCAACGUGGACCAUCCUGUGAUCAUCAACCAGUUCUACGAAGAUCGCCAAGACGUCUCAAAUACGGGGGCGGUGGCGCUGAGCAACAUAACCUACACGAACCUCAACGGGACGUCGACGCGAAAGACGGCCGUCGACUUCGAUUGCAGCAAUAACGGCAGCUGCAUGGACAUCCACGUCAACAGCGUGGCGAUCACGGCGGCGGACGGCGGAGCAACCGUGGCCCGCUGCCAGAACGCGGACGUGGACACCUCCGGGUUCGUCUACCCGAAGAUCCCUUGCGUAGCUAACGCUGCAUCGCCCAGCCCAGGGCUUAGCACCUAG